AUUUUCUUAGUAUAUUAGUAUAUUUAACUUCCAAUUAAAAGGACUUAAAUUUAAGAGAAAAUA
This 63-nucleotide transfer RNA is filed under the name Nerthra indica. Its description in RNAcentral is "tRNA-Gly". Lineage: Eukaryota; Metazoa; Arthropoda; Insecta; Hemiptera; Gelastocoridae. The record is from RNAcentral.